AGAGUUUGAUCCUGGCUCAGGACGAACGCUGGCGGCGUGCCUAAUACAUGCAAGUCGAGCGAAUCAUUAGGAGCUUGCUCCUUUUGGUUAGCGGCGGACGGGUGAGUAACACGUGGGCAACCUGCCUGUAAGACUGGGAUAACACCGGGAAACCGGUGCUAAUACCGGAUAAUCCUUUUCCUCACAUGGGGGAAAGCUGAAAGACGGUUUCGGCUGUCACUUACAGAUGGGCCCGCGGCGCAUUAGCUAGUUGGUGAGGUAACGGCUCACCAAGGCGACGAUGCGUAGCCGACCUGAGAGGGUGAUCGGCCACACUGGGACUGAGACACGGCCCAGACUCCUACGGGAGGCAGCAGUAGGGAAUCUUCCGCAAUGGACGAAAGUCUGACGGAGCAACGCCGCGUGAGCGAUGAAGGCCUUCGGGUCGUAAAGCUCUGUUGUUAAGGAAGAACAAGUAUCGGAGUAACUGCCGGUACCUUGACGGUACCUAACCAGAAAGCCACGGCUAACUACGUGCCAGCAGCCGCGGUAAUACGUAGGUGGCAAGCGUUGUCCGGAAUUAUUGGGCGUAAAGCGCGCGCAGGCGGUCCUUUAAGUCUGAUGUGAAAGCCCACGGCUCAACCGUGGAGGGUCAUUGGAAACUGGGGGACUUGAGUGCAGAAGAGGAAAGUGGAAUUCCACGUGUAGCGGUGAAAUGCGUAGAGAUGUGGAGGAACACCAGUGGCGAAGGCGACUUUCUGGUCUGUAACUGACGCUGAGGCGCGAAAGCGUGGGGAGCAAACAGGAUUAGAUACCCUGGUAGUCCACGCCGUAAACGAUGAGUGCUAAGUGUUAGAGGGUUUCCGCCCUUUAGUGCUGCAGCUAACGCAUUAAGCACUCCGCCUGGGGAGUACGGCCGCAAGGCUGAAACUUAAAGGAAUUGACGG
RNAcentral lists this ribosomal RNA (926 nucleotides) under uncultured Bacilli bacterium. RNAcentral's name for it is "SSU rRNA". It matches the Rfam family "Bacterial small subunit ribosomal RNA", at positions 8 to 916 of the family's 1533-position model. The record is from RNAcentral. Lineage: Bacteria; Bacillati; Bacillota; Bacilli.